CCCUGUGCCUCUCGCCACCUCUCCCAUCACUGGCCAUCGUCGUCGCCGCGGGCCCUCAUCCCGCCUUCAUCUACCUAUCUCUAUAUAUUGCAACUCUCUUUGCCGCCAUCUCCAUAAACACACACGCUCGGACACACACACACACACACAGAGAGACACACGGGCACCAGUGCGCGCUUCGGCACAUCCGAUAAGAACCGUCUAACAAGCCAAGGCGCAAGACGUGGUCUGUGUGCACAGACACCGCACACACGCACGCGCACAUCUUCGCCCCGUCAAAAAGACGCCCGGAUCACGGACACCACUGCUCUCAUCACUUCCUUUUCUAGUUUCAUUGUCCUCUCAUCAGCCCAAACAAGGCACACGGCGAGGUCCAGCGACCAAGUCAGUAGCGGCGUCUGCGCGCACGCCUUUAGGCGUGCCUUUAGCGUCUUUUGCCAGCGAAGGGUGCUCCGCUCCCUUAGUCGCGCGCGCGCACACACACACACGCUCACACCACGAUUGGGUCACGCAUGCGUGCGCUGUACGCAUGGAAAUGUGUUGAAGUGACUCUUAACGCUUCUUGCUGAUCUCCCCCUUCCUCCUCUCUCUCUUUCGCUUACUGGAGGUUGCGAUCGAAGCUGUUGUGGUCGUGCAGCUUCUUUGUUGUUUGCUUUCUCAUUAUCUCUCAUCAUCACCUCUCAUCACCACCUCUAUAUCUAUAUACAUAUACGCAAAUCUCGUUUUUGUUGCUGUGUGCGUGCGUGCGCGCUCGUGUGUGGGUUCCGGGACGUGGGCUAGCGGCCGGAUCAGUUUCGUGUACGCACCCCCGUGUACGUAAGGAGGGCACAUACACACACAGACCGAUCCCCAACGACACAGGAAACAAAGGAGAAAAGGAAAAGGAGGAGGAGAGGGCCUUUACAAGAGGUCAGCGGCGAAAAAGGAACGACACACAGCCGCCUUUGGUGGACGCUGUGUCUGUUGCUCUGUCGUGUGCGUUUAUUUCAUUGCUGCUGCUUCUCUCCCUCGCCGUGUCGUUGGUCUGUCUCUUCUCUCUUCGAGUGGCGGCUCUCUCGUUUUCGUGCGUUGCCGCGCAUACGCGCAUUUUCCGUGUUGAGCUGCGCUGUGUGUGUUGUGCGGUCUUGCAUCGGUUAUCUCUUUCUUCGUCUGUUGCUUUUUGUUUUCUGUGUGCUCAUUCAUUCUCUUCUGUCGUCGGCACCGUCGGUUCUUGGUUGUGGUGUGUGCGUGUUUGGGUUUUGGUGCGCGCGCGCUACUGGCUUCCACCGCGUCUGUUUCUUUUUUCCUUUGUGUUUUGCAUUCUCUCACGCACACGCGCUCCAUCUCUUCCUGCCCUCGUGGCGAUUCGUUGCCGCUUGGCCUUCGCACGCUUGCGGUCCUCGCCACUUGGCGUCUUCCUCCCCUCCCCUCUCCUCCGCGGCGGUUUUUUCUAACCGCAUCUGUGCCUUUUACGCUCCCUCCUUGCUUCGCGUGCUCACGGUCAUUUCUCUCUUUUUUUUUCUCCCUUUCCCUCAACUCGGUGUGCGGGCGUGUGUGUGCGUGGACGUAGGGCCUGAUCAGCUAUCCUGCUCACUCGUUGUCGCGGUUGUCGCCUGCCAUGCUGGAAAAGUACAUUGCGGCACUGUUGGUGCCGUACUUGUCUAAAUACGUUGAGAACAUCAACGAGGACAAGCUCAAGGUCAACAUAUGGAGUGGGAAGGCGACGCUAAAUGAUCUCGUGCUCCGCCCGGAGGCGCUGGAUGCGCUGCUGAACUCCGCGGCCAACGAGAGCGACGACUGCAGCUGUGAAGCGUCCGGCGACGUCGCGGCGUCGCCGAAGUCGAAGCCGAAAAAGCCUCUGCUGCCCAUCAAGACAUAUCGUGGCAUCUGUAAGAAUGUCUCUCUCUCGAUCCCUAUCAAGCACCUUCGCUCCGAGCCCGUUGUGCUGGAGGUGGGGGAGGUUUUGGUAACUCUAAAGGGUGCGCAUGCCGGUAGCAGUGAUGCAAGCGGUGCGGCACCGGUGGGCAGCAGCAGCGGCAGCGCCAAGCGGAACGUGAAGGCGGCUAAAUGGGCUGCAGUGGCUGCGGCAAAGGAGAAGGAGCUCGACGCCUUUGAGGCGGAGCGCAAGCGCCAGCGUGAGCAGGCGGAGCAGCAGCAGACAGCAACGCUGCCCACCUCCAGCAGCGAUGCGGCAGCACAGACGGGAAGAGGAGGCUUCUUUUCGCGACUCGGCGAGCUGGUGGUGAAUAACAUUAUCGUCAAGGUGGGUACGGUGCACAUCCGCUACGAGGAUGAAUCGACAGAGACGGUGCUGGGUGCGGUUCUAGGCGGCGUGCAGCUGCUGACAAUGAAUGAGUGCACGGCGCAACCUAUGUUCACCGACCCCUGCGGGCUGCAGCGGAUGUGGAAGCGGCUUGUGUUCAACGAUUUGCAGGUCUACUGCGAUGACCCGACCCGCGUGCGGGCGAACGCCGCGCUAGGCCGCACCUGGUUCUCUCGGAUCGACGACUGGCAACAGUGGUACCACCGCAUGCGGCAGCGCGUGCGGGAUGGCAAUGUCGCCUUGUCUACUGUCCUUGGCCCUGUGUCGGGCACUGUGGAUGCCAAGGUGGUCUUCAAGUUGUGUGUGCGCCAGCUGCUCGAGACACCGUUUGCGGAUGUGGCGGUGAAGUUGCAGUACUUGAUGGUCAACCUCACCCGCCCACAGUACACAAAACUGCUGCAGACCGCAAUGCUCUUCACCAACCAGGCCGAGGUGUCCCAACUGCAGAGAUCUCGGCCGCGUGUGCCGGUGCUGGGGCACGCGCGUGAGUGGUGGCAGUACGCCAUCUGCGCAGUACGCACCGUACUGCGGGAGCCGAAGCGGGAGAAGCUGCUCGCGCAGGUGUCGCAGGUGUGCAAGCCGGACUACCAAGUGCUCUACCGAGAUGUUGUGCGGCAGACGGAGAUGACGCCGGAGAAGAGGAAGGCCUACCGCUUUGUGACGCGGCUUAUGACCACUGAGGACAUGAAGGCGGGCCGCAAGUGCGUGUAUGCGCAGAUCGCGAAUGAGAUCCAGCUGAAGCGGAAGGAUAACGAGAUACGCAAGGCGGAGGAGAUGGCGAGGCAGCAUCUGACAAGCGUCGAGCAGCAGCAGCAGCAGCAGCAGCGAAAUCCGAAGCGCGCCUGGUUCAGCUGGCUGAGUCAGCGCAGCGGUGCGUCCUGCACACAUGCCACCGCUGCUCAGAGCGACACUGCAAAGGAAAUCGAGGCGGACGAGAAGCUGUUCAGGUCCAUCGAGCUUGAUUACGGGAUCAGCGCCGCAGACGCCGAGGCCGAUCAUACCGCGGCGGCCGACCUCAGCAGCGUCGGCAGCGGCAGCAGCUUGCCACCGUCUUAUUGCUGGCUGCGCGCAAGCUUCGACCUCCCGCUCACGAGCUACCGCAUUGACACGGAGAAGGAGGAGUCUAUUACCCUCAAACUGUUUCAGCUGCGCGGCGGAGUCUCGUCGUAUAACAAGCCAAACUCGCUGCUCUUCUUCUUUCGCACCCAGAACAUUACCUUGGCGAAUCCCACCUCCUCGCCUGCGGCGUUCGCCAGCACCAGGUCCAAGGCCGCCGCAAGCUCGUCAAGCGGCUGUGACACUUUGGUGCCCUACCUCAUCGAAGGUGUGCAGGUCGAUCGCCACGCCUGCAAGUCGAGCCCAAACGAGGUGCGCGUCGCCAUGCGGUCGCUCACGGACGUGGAUAGCGGCAAGCAUUUAUCGCCCGACGCACCGACGAUCUACGACGUGAUCAACGUCGACAGAAAGGGACGGCGCUUGUCCUCGCUGACGCCGGCGCCUCCGUCGGGCACUCGCGAUUCUAUCGGCAGCGGCAGCAGCGGCAGCGAGGAGGGCAAGCAAAGCACACAGCACGACUGCGCCACGCCGCUAUUCAGCAUCACGGGAUUCCUGAACCCGGUAGAGCAGCCGCUGCCCGACACGUCGGUGGACAUGGCCGUCAGGGUGCAGCUGCUCCCACUGCGCAUCGUGGCAGAUCCGCGCACCAUUGAGCAGCUGAUCCGCUUCUUUUCACCGCCGGCUGGGGUGGACGUGUCGGGCUUUGCCGAGUCCACCAAGCAGGCGGCGUCUGCUGUCGGGUCGGCAGCGACGCAUGAGGUGCGGGCUGCCAUGGCCAAGACCAAGGGGCUGUACGUGACGGUGGACGCAUCGGCACCGGUGCUCAUCCUCCCCAAGAGCCUUAGCGCAGAUGUCCAGGAGCCAGCCCUGUGCGUCUCCUUAGGUCGUGUGCUCUUCAAGGCGCGGCCCCUCUCUGAAACGGAGAAGAAGCGGCGACUGGAGGCCGCCGUUGCCAUCGCAAGCGGCAAGUCUGGCUUGUGUAGCAAGGCGCUGGCGCGGGUGGCCGCGGACGAUGAGCCCGGCAGCCUCACCAGCGCUGCGGCGGCCGAGGAGGCACUCUACUACUACCCGCACAAGGCGAGCUUCUCCAAGUUUUACCUCGAAUUGACAACACUGGAGCGGGCGAUGCGGCGGCCGCAGCAAGGCUUCUUCUUGGUGCCGGAGGUGUCAAUCGCGGCGGACGUGCUGCAGCGCAUUGAUGACUGCAAUACCGCUCGUGAGGCGGUGGUACUGCGGCUGAGGGUGCCGUCGCUGCGAGUGGCGUCUUCGGUGCACCAGAUCUACCUCGUCACCACCAUGAUGGAUGCCUGGCUCUCUAACCUACGAUUACCUGCCACUGCGUCCAGUCGCACGGGCUUGCCAGGAGACAACCGUAGUGGAGGCGGCCCUGGCGGCACGAGCAUGGCGGCGCCGUCACGGCUGAACAUGGAACUGCUACGCCGCAGGCCCGCUGCGUCGGAGUGCGGUGAAGCGCACCGCGGCGAUGCGGCGGCAAGUACAGGGGAUCACAGCAGCGCGGACGCAGCAGCCAGAGGUUCCUCAGAGUCGGGGUACGGCUCUAGGGCUGUGUCACAGGCUCCUUCAUCUCCUCCUGCCAAAGCAGGGAUGCUCAGCAGCAGCCCAAACAAAGACGCCGCCGCGCGCGCGACUCCAGCAGGCAGCACUGACCUGCCCGCAAUGCGUCUCGAGCUUCUCGUCGAACGCCUAGGGCUCGACUUGCACGACGACGACCCGAGCACGCACGCCGUGUCGCCACUGCCCGCUUUCCAGGUGGAGUGCGGGAGCGCCGAGCUCAUCUUGGCCGUGCGCAGCCUUCACAAGAAGAUGGUUCUCUGUCUGACGAAGCCGCACAUCGCUGCUGCUCGCGACACCGACUUUCCCAUUUUCUCUGGCGGCAGGGUGCGAGUGGACCUUCUCCUCUCGGAGGGCGAUGCCCCGACGGCCGUGGCGCUCAGCCUCGACUCUGUGCUGAACGUGUGCGUCGGUACACCGUGCGUCGAGCUACUGGAGACGGUUAUGGACAUGGUGCAACUCACUCUCUCCGCCAUGGAUAGCAGCUCCCGCGGCGUCGGUAACGGCGUAAACGCGAAGACUGCGGCGCUGGUGGCCGCCGCGACAGCGGAUCGUCCGGCGGACGGAGGUCUCUCUUACCUUGUGCCCACCACCAGGACCGCCUCCUCCAUGGCGGAUGACGGGGCCAUCACGCGUGACGACCUAGCGCCGUCGUGCUCGAGAAGCGUCGCCAGUCGUGUUAGUGACCUCGCGUAUCAAAUCGACCUUGUGCAGCAGCAGUGCUCGAUGCCGAACCGGCACGUGGCAGACGUCUUUGUGCGCAUUCCCGGGUCUAUCACCGUCACAUUGCUGAACCGCGCUCCCGGGAACGACAAGGAUGCGCCGUUCGCGUCGGCCAGCAUGCGCGCGGUGGAGCUGCGGCUGUCCAAGUACACGGUCACGAUGGACCUCUCGGGUCACGUCGGCGAGGUCGCAGCCAGCGUCCUGGCGUCAGUUGGCUUGGCAGAAGCCAACCGCACGCUGCUCGCCUAUCGGCCCCCCUCUGCGGACACGAAUGCUGGAGGCUGUGCUGCGGGGCCGUCGGAAUCGCCGUCGUCCGCAAAGCCGGCCGUCGUCGAUGCCGUAUCAGCGUCGCCAGCGACCAGUGGCAAAGCAGGAGAGGGCGACACUCACAGAAGCAGCUGCAGCCGCCCGCGGUCUACGAAGCGGCUCGACACGGAUGAGCCCGAUCAGAACGCGCACAUAUGCUUCAGCUUUCGCAAGAGUCGGCCGGUCAUGCCGGUCUUCGCCGAGGUGGAUGGAAAGCGGUCUCUGGUGAAUGCGCAGGAGCUGCGCUACUCUAGCGCGAUUGAGCUGCAUGUGGGGGCCAGCACCAUCACCGUCGACCUCCACACCGUCAUGAUCUUCAAGACGUACUUCACGGCAGGACUCUUUUCGCGCAUCAGUCGCUUGGCGGACCGCCCGGUGUACAAUGGCCGCACCCUGCCGCCAACUCGCGAGGGCCCGCGGCUGCUCAUGAGCAUGCGAGUGGUGGUUCGUGACACCCUCGUUGUCCUCCCGGUUGAUCCACGCGCCAGCGACAGCGCCACCCCUGCUGCCGCUGCCACAACCCAUCGCUUCUGCGCGUCCCUUGGCAGCCUGGCCCUGCAGAACAGCCUCCGCGCAACAGAGGGGCUGGAAGCCAUGAUCGUCUCUCUCGGCGAGGUGGGCAUGUGGCGCGAGGAGCUGCGUGCUUCGCCUUUGCGGUCUUCACAGCCGCGUGAGAGCAGCAGACCUCUGAAUGCGCCGCCGCCGGUCAGCAAGCGCUCCCCUCUUUUGCCCGCAGAGACGCACCUCGAGAUGGCUGUGCACACCGCGCUCGACCUUCAGUCGGAGGACCCGCCCCGCAUCGACAUCCGCAGCGAGGACGUGUCGCUGGAGCUGCGAGAGACGGACUUGGUGCAACUGGUCACUCUACUGCGCCAGAACCUGACCCGCGCAGACCCGGUCGAUAUCGCCGCCUAUGCGUUGGAGGCUGCCGAGGCGCGCCAGAUGGUGCUGGGCAAGAGCGGCGAGCCUGUCGCGGCGCAGGGAGACAGCACGAGCGUCCUGCGUGGUGGGGCGUCGUCUGCGGGGGUAGCAGCGAGGGCGAUUCACCGCGACAGCGGCGCUGAGGGCAACCGCAGUGGCGAUCUUUGUAUGUCGAUGCAUCUCGGCAGGAUAUCGAUGCUGCUUUCCGACGCAUGGGGAGAGGCGGCGAGCAACCCUAUCGACGCGUCGUCGUCUCGCUUCCAGCUGCAAAGCAUAGGCGUUUCGAUGUCGGUCGCACUGCCGUCCAACUGCGUGGGCGUGCGGUGGAAGAGUCUCGAGCUGGACGACGUGCGUGACAACAACCGCGCGGCGCUAGUGUGGUGUGAGGCGGGCUCGCUGCACUUCGCUGACUCGCUCACCACACACGGCAUUCUUAUGCGCGACUUCGGCGUCCGACGCACUGCCCUGCGCAGCGCCGACGCAGGGGUGGAGUCGAUGAUGGGCUCCGUGGGCUGCAGCGAUGCGAAGGACAGCGGCGGGCACAACAGCAGCAGCAGCAGCGUUGGCGCAUUGCCGGCCUCCUCCACGGGUGCCGCUGCUCGUGGCCUGAGCAGGCGCAGGCCUGUGGAGGCGAGCAGCGGUGAGGGCGACUCCCCGGCCAGCACGCAGCUUUUCACUAUGUCGGUGCUCUCGGCCGACUUCACUCUGCGCCGCUUCGCCGUCUCGGACCAGUGGUUGGCGCUUUCCGAUCUCGUGUGCAACGAGGCGGUACUUUCGGCGUGGACGGCAACUCAAAAAGGAAUGACGGCUUCCACCUGCGCAUUCCCACCGGCUGACUAUGCGGGAGGCAAAAGUGGAGGUGGUGGUGCAGCACCGAAGAGCGGGACUGCCGCCACGGGCAGCCGCAGCGGCAUGCGCGUCAUCGUCACCACCCCUAGCGUCGUUAUCCCGUUCCUGAACUCGCGACGCGAGACGCUCAUCGAGGCGCACAUCGGCGCCCUCCUCGCGGAUGUGGUGCAGCUGCCAACCGUGAAGCAGGUCGCUGUGAAGGUGCGCGAGCUCAGCGUGGUGGACGCCCGCUCAGGCGAGAAGAUUCUCUGCAAGCGUUCCUCCUGCGGACGGCCGUCCUCUACCCGUGUCGCCGCCGGCAACGCCCUUGCGCCGGCCCCGGCGACUCAAAGUGACUGGGGGGACGAAUGGGAGGAGGCGGACCUGCCGUCCUCGCCGCUGAUCGCGAGCGGCGGUGGCGCUGCGGCCGAGAGUGCAAGCAGCGCGCCCGGCGCCUGGGCCUCGGCCACCGCCGAGCCCGGCCAGGCCGAGGUGCUUCAAUUCACGUUCAAGUCGGACCCGGUGGCGAACAUCAACAAGAUUCAGCUCGGAAUCGGCGAGCUGCACGCGCUGGCGUCGAUGCCCAUCAUACAGGGGCUGGCCGACUACUUUGCCUCUCCGGCGGAGCCGGUGGCGAAGAUCGCGAGCCUUGGCGUGAUGCGGGAGCAGCGGGCCCGCAUGGCGGCGGCCGCCCAGCAAAUGGCUGACUCCUCUCUCCUUGUGCUGAACGUCCUGUGGCAGCAGCCACGCAUCAUCCUCGCUGGCGACGCGAUGCAGCUGCGACGGCGGUCUGGAAAUCUGGAGAUGCGGCUCGGCGUCAUGCGGGCCGCGGUGCGAAUGAACUCCAGCGCUGCGUCGCUGUCGGUGGUGGUGAAGGUGCAGGAGUACAGCAUCCCCUCGUUGCUGAAGCGGUCAGCGCUGCACUUCGCGUACGAGGCGAACCGCGGGGUGGAGAUGAUCGACCUGCAGAUGAAGCGGACAACGGCGCUCUUCCACCCCGCGGAGGUAGAGCGACUUGUGCUCCUCGCGCAGCGUAAUGUGCUCAUGCCGCGCGACGUGAACUACUACGGCGCAUACGAGAAGGCGGUGGCGCAGCAGAGCGGCAACCCUGCCACACCCGCUGCCGCACCGAUGCCGGCUUCGGCACAGCAUCGGUCGGCCACACGCACACCGCGUGCGCCUCAGGCGGAGGGCAAGAAACGUGCCAACGUAGCCUCGUCGCCACCAACCCCCUCGCGGACUGUUAAGGUGCAUAUCGACGGCUUGCUGGUCGCUGUUCACGACCCCGCUGGUGUCAACACGCACACGCUCACGCUCGCGGCGCUGGACACCACCGUCUUGCCGAACGGCAGCGUUGCGCUUACUGUUCCGUCGCUCAGCAUGAUCGACCAGUCGACGGGCCGCUGCAUGCUGCAGAGCGAAACGGUGGGUUCUUCAGCAGGCUCCGGCGCAGGCAAUCGAACCGCGCACGCGGCGGCAUCAACAGCGGCCCCUGCGGGGAGCGGCAGCGGUGGCAAGGUGAGCACCGACGCAGCUGCCAACGCCAAGGGCGACGCUGCCGCCACCCCGGCCGAGGCAGCGCUGUGUGUGGCCUUCCAUCCUGUCGACCGAACGUCCGACGUCCAGCUCGGUGCGGUGCUUGUGACGUUUAUUCCACAAAGCAUCGGCACGCUCGUGAACACGCUCCUCUCGGUGCACAUCCCCGGCCCUGACGAACCGGACACCGCUGCCUCUUCCGCUGCCCAGCCGAUCUCUGCCGGCGCGACUGCACCAAGGAGCGGCAAAGGCGGCAAGAGUGCGACAGGCAGCACCGUCGCAGCCUCCGCCGCUGCCGUCGUGACGCAUACCUCGGCUAUGCCGUUCACCUUCAAGGCGGCACUGGUCGAGUGCCGUGUCCGUUUCUGCCAGGGCGACCGCGAGGUGGCCGUGCUGCACAUCGCGCGCAUUGCGUGCGGGUCGAAAUCGUACCCUAACGGCGCCAAUAAACUCACCGUGACGCUGGGCAGUCUCUUCAUGGUGGACAGCACCAGCGUGAACACGAACUACCGCACCGUUAUAUACCCGUAUGAGGACACCGAGGCUGGCGACGCGCCGGGCCCAGGCGCGAAUCCGGCAGGCAGCGCCGGUGCGGUGAUGCGCAGUCUGGUGGCACCGGUAGAUGCGCUGGUGACUUACGAGGUGAAGACGAGUGCGCCGCCCGCCACCAAGCUCACAGCAAAGUCAGCAGGUGCCAACGCCGCUGAGUCGACAGCGCCGACGUACACGCGCCACAUGAAGUGCCGCGUGGGCAGUCUCUUCUUCGUUCUGGUGCCUGAUGUGGUGCGCACCGUUGUGGGCGUCGUGCGCGAGGCGCAGGCACACAUCUCCGACGGUAAUCGUGAUAAGGCCUACACCUACGUCUCGGACCGCGCCGCGGAGUCGAUGCGGCGCAGAAGCGAGGCAGAGCAGCUGAUGGAGAUCGAUGUGAUAGUGCGCCGUCCGCAGGCGUUUAUGGUCGACAAGCCCACUGCCACCAUGGGUGUGCUGCUCUCGCCCGGCAGCCUGACUGUGAGGAGUCAGCUGGUGCUUCCUAGUGACACCACCGCCGGGAAGAAAGCGGACGCGACAGCGAGCGCCGCCCCCUCUGCGACGCCGCCACAACUCACGGAGCCAGAGGCGAAGCUGGCGGCGAUGCCACGUGAGGUGUUUGCUGUGCAGGUGCGCACGAUGGGGAUGCUGCUGCGGGGUGCCAGCUGCUUUCAGAAAGACUGCAACAUAUUUGUGCAGUUUCAGCGCGCGCUGCCGGCUCUGAUGGACUCUUCCACAGCUGCGGCGGUGGCAGUGGCCACGUCGACCGGUGCCGCCAAAGUGAAGGAGGGGCAGACGGCGAAAGGGGACGCAGGGGACGGAAGCGACGGAGCGGCUGUACAGCUGCAAUCGAUGCUGAAGGUGGAUGUGCCGAUGCUCUCCAUGAUGCUCACUCACGAGCAGACGGACUUUGCUAUGAUCGUUCUUGGAGCGUUGCUAAACGGGACGGAGAUCGAUCGUACCCCUGCGACGACGACGACGAGCGCCCCAGUCGAUGGACGUUCCAGCGCGCGCAACGCGGUGGCGUCCUCGCCGUCAGAAGAGAAGACUGGUGGGCAGAACCGCGGCGGCGGCUCUGCGCCGGGAUUACAUAUACCGCAGCCGCCACCGAACUUGAGCUGCACAACUUCUGGCGGUGCGGGGCCUCAGACGACGGCUGCGUCAGGGGCCAGGUCAGGCUCGCAAAGAGGCAGCACGACGGCUGGGGCUUCCUCGUCGGCGGUAGCCAGGCCGCCGUCUCCGGCAGCGCAGUCCGUGCCGCAUUUCUACACGCCUACGGAGGGGUCCCCGAUUACGUCCUUCACCCUCAUCGCCCACAUCGGUUUCCUGCAAGCCGAGGUGGCCGAUCUGUUCCGCCUGCGCGUCGAGGAGGCGCGAGUGCUCAGCACCGACGUGACCACCACCGGCAAGAUGACGGAUGUCCAGGUCGACUCCAUCUAUGUGCAGCACGUCGGCGCCGAGGUGGAGGCGCCGCAGCCGGUGGACGCAGGGGUGCCGCCGUCGUCGCAGCUCGGCAAAGGGCCGCAGGCCGGCGCUCCUCGCACCUCGCGCAUUCAAGAGCUGGUUGACGUCCUCACUGUGACGAAGCUGCACAUGCUCUCUGUGCAGCCGCAGCCCGUCAUCGAUGUGGACGCUGGCUCCAGCAUGGUCGAGAACACCAUUAGCGUCUCCGCUGCUAUCUUCAACGUGGCCAUCUCGCCGACGAUUCUCUUCGACACACGCGAGGUGCUCUACCUACCCUUCUGCUACAAGGUGCUGCGCGUGCCCAUCGAUCCGAUUCCGAUCCUCAGUCUCAUGGAUGAGACAACCACGCUGCAGGAGGAUGUGGUGCUGGAUAACAAGCAUGUGCUGUUGACAGCGAGCCGCACGCGGUGCUGCUACGUGCUGGACCUCAAUAAUCACAAGCUUGUGUUCACUGAUGCCCCGUCUGGCCAGAUUGUCUUGUGCGAAGGUUGCGAGCUGACCAUCACCAACGGCACCGUUCAUAUCCCGGGCAUGUACACGAUCGGCUCGUACGUGAGUUUUGCGCCGUCGACGGCGCUCUUCACAACCGACAGUGUGCGCUUUAAGAAGGAGUUCUUGAACCUGUCGAACACGGCUUUCUACCGCCCUUUCCUGUCUCGACCAAUGGGAUCGCCUGGCGGUGGCGUGGCGCGGCGCGGUAGCCCAGGCAGUCCGCAGUCACCUGUAAGCGCGCGCGCCUCCAGCACCGCGGCACUGACAGAGAUCUCGUCGAUGGACACCCUGGUAAAGUCAGCGGCGCCACGCGUGCCGCAUAGCACUGCCAUCGAGCUGCACGACCGCACCGUUCGACUGCUGGCCACCUUCUACUGCGACACGAUGGAGGUGCAGAUGCUCUCGGAGGAGGUGGUGGAUCUUUCCGUAGCACUGUGCAUGCAGUGCCGCAUAAAAUUUGCACAGGACAACGAAAACGAGCAGCCGGCGCGGCGGACCGUGUCGGUGCAGCUGCUCAACGUCCGCUCGGGCGAGGAGGAAGAGCACAUUUUGUUGCCGACGGACAUGGUGAUGAACGUGAGCGGGGUGGAGAAUGUGAGCGUGUCGGUAGUGCUGGAUUCGAUCGAGUUCUGCACUCGUGCGACGCUGUUGCGGUCGCUUGUGGAGCUUGGCAAAGAUUUCGGCGCCGCCUUCAUUGAGGAGACGACCGUCUCGCGUGUGACGCCGCGCAUCGAGUACGAGACCGAGUCGCUUGACCCGCUGGUGCCGGUGCUGGAGGCUGGCGAGUGCCAGCACUGUGGCCAACGCGAUGCCUACCUGGCGCCGGCAUCGAACAGGCCCGGCAUCUUGUGCUACAAGUGCUGCACCGGCCACGAUCACGUCCCGGCGAUGAACUUCUGGGUUGAGGUGCCGCUGAUCGACGGCAUUGUCUUCGGGUCCAAGAGCGACAUGGCCCAUGUUUUUAUGCGGAACGUGCUGCUCUCCGUCGACCCCUCCAUGGACCUGCAACUCACGCUGCGCGCAUCGCUGUACGGUUUCAGCAACACCGCGGCGGUCUGGGAGCCUUUGGUUGAGCACUUCGACGCCAACAUCUCUGGAAGCGUCAAGGCGCACGACUACACGGUGCGCACGGAUCGGUUCGACUACGUGGUGUCACCGCAGAACAUCCGCCUGCUGAGCGGGAUGGCGGCCGAUUACGGCGCCGCCACGGCGCUGCAGAAACAGCUGCGCAAGCGGUUUCGUGGGCAGAAGCAGCUACGCACGCAGCAGACGGCGCCGAGCCAGGGCAUGCCCAUGUACGUUGACGCCUCCUUCCUCGACGAGGCGGCGUGGCUGCAGCAGCAGGAAGGGCGAGAGGGCGGCUUUCAGGAUGCGAACACGGCAGCGGAGCUGAGUCCGUUCUGCCCACUAAGUGCCGCUGCGGACUUGUCAGCGGAAUUCAGCGGCGCGACGGCGGGCAUGGUGAACAUGUCCAUCUUUGACGCCCUCUCAGCGGCGAACCGGCGGCUGAUCGGCGCCGCUGCGGCUCGGCAGCCGAAGCGCGUGUAUGCGCAUGUGUACGUGACGAACAACUGCAACGUUAUACUCUCAGUUGGCGACCGUCGCGUCACGCCCCGCGGCGGCACGCUGCGCUUCGCGGCCAGUGAGCCAUCCGUGACGAUCCGCCGCGAGGCAAAGCCAGACGAGCCGCAGUACGAGGGUUACGCCACCAGCCUCUCCAACCCGCCCCUGUACGUGCAAACCAAGGACAUGGUACUAGAGACGAGAGUGGUGCUGAGCCAGGAAGAGGGUGCGCGCCACCUGCGUCGCACGGUUACGAUGGUUGUCUAUCCACUGCACGUCUCGCGCACGAUCAUCUGUUUCGAGAACCGACUGAGCUGUUCGUUGGCGUCUACGUCCAACAACCCACCUGUGCGGCCGGGGGAGCGCUUCUACGUGGCACCAACGGUCGACCUCAACACCUCUAUCUUGGUGCAGCCCGUGAACACACCGGACCGGGUCGAGUACGAAGCUGGCAAGCCCGUAGCAGAGGCGCUGAGCGGCCGCGUCUCGCGCGGCCCGUCAACAAUGCCCACGGUGCAAGAGGUGCUCUGCGGCGCGCCUCUCAUUGUGUGCUGCAAGGCCAAGACAGCCGCUACCAAGUCCAUGACACUUGUCGUCUACGUGCGGCAAGAGGAGAUGCGUGGCGGGGUGCCGACCUUUGUUAUCACCAUCGAGUCGCGCUUCCGCCUGCGCAACAAGUUACCGUACCGGCUCAUCGUGAAUGUCAUCCCAGACGCUGGCGGGUUGCUGGCAAAGGGAAAGAUGACGUCGCGGCCGGUGCAGCCACUCGCGAGUACCGUGCUGGAGGUGCGCCAGAGCGCCGACCUGGGGCUGAACGGCUACACCUUGAACCAGGUUGCGUUCAUGCUAGAGGUGCGGCAGCGUGGCCGUCGAACCGCGGUCGCCGACGCGGCUGCUCUCUCUGCAUCAUCAUUGCACAAGGGGCAGCAGGAAGAGGCGGAAGAAGAGGAGGUCUUCUCCACGCUGACGCCCGUCGCCGUGUCGCCGGACAAGCCGUUCGUCAUUCUGCGCUCGCAGUACCGUCGUCAGCUCGUUAUUCGCGCAUCUCUUGUCACCAAUAACUGCUCCAUCAUGUUCUCCACGCCGUAUGUUCUACUGAACCACUCGCCGAUCCCGCUGACGCUGCGGGAGUGCACGCGGAGCGGGGAGAACCGGCUGUACGAAGCCGAGCCCAACUACAGCGUCCUGAACGCCGAGAUGAACGCGAGCAUCGCUGCCUGCCCGAUGGACAUCCGCAAGAGCGAGGACUUUUUUGUGAACCUCUACCAUAAGGAGUACCGCGGCGCCUGCGUCCCCCUGCACGCACAGCAGCGCGGUGUGGUCAUCAUGCAGCACUGCAGCGCCAAGGCGGGCGACAAACAAAAGUUGCCCCCGGCCGCCAGCAGUAGCAGCAAGAAGAAGGGCACGGCGCCGUCUGCGCAUACACCCGGCCCGACGGUGAUUCAUCUUGCCUACUCUUCCCAGGUGGACCCGAAUGGGUCGGUGUUGGUCACCAUCACACCGCGGUGGGUCCUUGUGAACCGCAGCCACCUGCACUUAUACGCCGCCCCGUCCACGUACAGUGGCAUCACGGCGAGAGAGGCGGCGGCGGUCACGGAGGUCAUGGUGGCGGCCCAGCAGAAGCACUCUAAGGCAGGGGACGGCGAUGUGCCGCCGCCGACGGGGGCGCCGAUGCCGCAGCAAGACAUGGACGCCAUGAAGCAUGCUUUGCAGGAAAUGGUGACGGAGGACAGAAUCGUUUUCCUCUCUGACGCCCCAACGCAGGUGAUGGCGCUGCCUCCGCAUAGCGCCACUCCACUUCUCGAGACCCCCUUGUGCGGGCCGGAGAUCGGCUACAAUCUUCACAUCUUGCAGAGCCCGCUUGCUCCGCUCUACGGCACCCCGAUAGGGAUUGAGAGCAUUCACAACGAGCUCAUCAUAGCGUACAAGCCUCUUGCAGACACCAGCGACCGCGCAGCCGGUCUGGAUGUCCGUGGCGCCAGUGGCAUCGGUGACAGCCGUGGCCCCCUGCAGCAGCGCGACCGCUUCCUCGAGGUGUCGAUUACGGCGCGGGGCUCCUACACCUACGUCGUGUUAGAGCCGCCGGUGCACGCGCCGUACCUGCUGCUCAACCGUACCGGCUACACUAUCAACGUGCGGGACACCGCGGCGAAGAGCAAGGGCCGGCUCAUGGCGCACGCUAUCCCUGGCCACGGCACGGAGCUGUUCCUCGACAACACUGUCACGACGCUGAUCCAGCUGGAGCUCCUCAGCUCCGACGGCCGUCGCCAGCUACACGAGGUGUCCUUCGACGUUGGUCGAUCUAUGACGCCGCAAGAGAUGAACACUGCCUCCGCGUCGGCUGAGGGCGUGCUCUACACACUCGGCUUUGGCGGCAACGGCCAGCAGAUCAUCGAGAUCACGCCGGCAAAGGCGGCCCUGCCCAUCGCCUACGUAGGCGUCGCGGCGCCGCCCAUUCCGAUCAACGUACUGCUCAACAUGGCCGUCAUGACGCUGUCGGUGGUGAUGCCGAGCAUGGAUGUCUUGUUCUGCGCUGUCACGGACGUGCGCUUCAGCUGGGACCGUCAGAAGGACCGCGAGAUGACGAAGUUCAGCAUCGAGAACUUUCAGGUGGACAACCAGACGGAGGUGUCACCGCGGUACGACUCGUGCCUCCUGUCGCUGCGCACGUCCAAGUCCACGGCGGCCGCCUCCGGCUACCUGGAGCGCAUCCUGGUGCCCGCCAAGGGCCUCAUCUGCCUAGAGGAGGUGCGGCUCGACGUGGUACCGCUGGCGCUGCGCGUUUCCGACACGCUUCUUGUGGCGAUCGCGGGCUUUGUGCGGGCGGUGCGCAGCGGCGAAGAUGCGCCGCACUCGAUGCAGUCAAACCAGAGUAUCGUAGCCGGCAACGUGACCACGGUUGCCUUGCAGGAGGCCGCCGCCGCCGCCUACGAGCGUUGCCCGACACCGGCAACGCUGUUUCGGAAGGCUCCCGUGCAGAUCGACAUCUGGGCCUCGCGGCUCACGCUGGAGCGCUUCAUUGUGAACCCUAUCGUUGUCCGUGUCUGGCUGACCCGCGACGUGGACGAGCACGACUUCUUUCGUGAGAACAUCAACUCGAAGGAUGCGGCGCUGCUGUCCAUGAUGCUGCAGUCGUGCGAGGAUGUCACGGUGGCGGCGCCGGGCAUUGUCACGGCGAAGCAGACCAGCCGACUCGGCAUUUUCGCUCAGUGGGUGGGCAAGACCUACACGGACAGGCUGCUUGCCCAGCUGAAGGGACUCCUGCUGCAGUACGCGUCGUCGCUGCCGAUGAUUGGUGCGCCGCUCAAGCUCGCCUCCGGGUUCGGCAACGGCGCUGUUCGCCUCUUCCGUGAACCGAUCGAGGGCCUCUCGACGUCGCCGUCGGCCUUCGCGACAGGGCUGGCGCGCGGCUCUGCCGGCUUCGCGCAGGAGUUUGCCGGUGGUGGCCUCGGCGCCGUCUCGAACAUCACGGCCUCGUGGUCGCGGCUGCUCAGCAUGGGCGGCGGUGUCUCAGAGCGAGAGCGGCGCAAGCAGAACGUCUUCACGGGAUUCGCAAGCGGCAUCAAGGGGGUGGUUCAGCGUCCGAUGGAGGGCGCGGCGGAGUCGGGUGCUGCCGGGCUCCUCAAGGGCACGGCGCAAGGCUUGGUUGGCGUGCUGGCAAACCCUAUGUCGGGGUUGCUCUCGGAUAUGUCGCGGGCAACGGGCACCUUGGCGAAGCUCGUCACGGACACCUACAUUCCGAAGACGCGGCGGUUGCGGCCGAUCCGUGACUUCCACGCCAACGGCGGCGUCGCCCCCUGGCGGUCUCUGGCGUCGGUCUACCAGUAUCAGCGCAUCCAGGGCAGCACUGGCACCUGGUCAGGCGAUCAUCUCAUCUCCAGCGUCGACGGCCCAGAGUGGUACCCGUCGCAGCGCGAGAAGGCCACGUACGGCAAGAACAAGACACCCAUCCCGGAGGACCGGUGGACGCUGGACCGCUACAACACCAACUUCAUGGGCUGGACGUACAGCACCAAGUACUACGGCAUCUACACGGACCGGCUGACAGACGAGGUGCGGGUGCGGCGCAUGCGAUGGACGGCGCUGAUCCGGCCGCUGCCGUACUCGCGCGUUGCUUUCUACCUACGCGUGUGCCCUGGUAUGGAGACGCAGCACCGCCGCACGCCAUCGUCCGCCUUCGCCAGGACCAUCACGAUGCCGCAGGAGAGCACGAUCGGGUUUACGUCGCCUGGUAUGCUGCAGGCGACGACGGUGGAGCAGUUACAGGCGCGCAAGAGUCGGGCGCUCGGCCCGCGAUCCUCCAGCCACAUACGGAGCAGCAGCGGCAGUAAGGUUGGCGUCACUUGGCCUUGGGAGAGGUCGUCCUCGAAGUCGCAGCGCGCCAACUCCGAGUUCUUUGCUGAAGAGGAGUACAUGGAGAAGGCGCAGACGAUUCACGAACUCUUGCGCAGCUGGACGGCUGUGGGUCGAAACGUUGGCGUGAAAGGCUCGAUCCUGCGCAGCCACUCUGGCAUGCUCGAAGACGACGACGACAAGGCCGACGAGGAGAUGCCAGACGCGGGCCAGUCGAUCACCGGCGUGAGCGAGUCACCUGCCAUUGGCGCUGGCGGUAGCGCCUCGCGGAAUGCGACGGCCGUGGCUGGCCGCAGCACGAGUGCGUCACGCGACAAGCAAAUUAAGAUGUCGAGGCAUUCGCGCAGCAACUCGGAGCUCGAGGCGCUUGCGUCGCCGAGGAUGCCGAACAGCAGCCACCAGUGCACAGGGGACGGCGACAAGCGCCGCUCUCACAGCCGGAGCAAGCGGGACAAGAGGGCCGAGUCUGCCGCCGCAGCAUCGGCUGAGGAGUCGGCGGGCUCCAUGGUGCCGGCCCCCAACCUCUACGUCCGCAGCGCCAGUGGAAAGAUGCUGCCGGUAGACACGGUCAGCACCGUGGCUCCGGUUCCUGGCGCGUCGUCGACCCCGUUGCCGCGCACGGCAAGUAACGCGAGCGCGCCACCGCCGAGCACGGUUGUCGAGGUGUACGAGUACGAGAAGAAGGUGUCGUUACUGGGGUGGGGAAAGCGGUACCUACCGUCCGACUGCCCCGCGUGGCAGGAUGUGCACGGCCACGAGGUGCCGAGCCGGCAUGAUAUACGCGCGCCGGCGGGGUGGGUCUGGACGACCGAAUGGACCGUCAUCGGUGGCGACCGCGACGGCUGGACGAUUGUGAGCAAGGGGGAGCGCAAUCUGCGGCGUCGCAUGUGGCAGAGGCGUCUGCUGAAGCAGGUCGCUUCGCCGCCGCCACACAAGUAAGGGGGCAGGCAAGCAAGGAAGGUCAGGUGAGGGCGUCUACCUAACUACCGGGAAAGGCUGCAGCCGCAUGUCGGUGGCACCCCAGACGUGUUUUGCUUUGGUGCUCUCCUCCUCUUCCUCCUCUCGGCAUUGCUUUUUCUUUAUCUGUUGCUGGGCUGGUGGUGGGGGUGCCAUCUGAGGAUGGGCGCGAGCGCGUGAGUGUCUGUGUGCGCCGUGGGCUGAAGGGCGUUUGCCUCGCCCCCGACGUACUGUAUCGCUGCCUAUCCCGCUAUCUGUGUGCGCGCACACACACGCAAC
This 18883-nucleotide unclassified non-coding RNA is filed under the name Leishmania donovani. RNAcentral's name for it is "gene:LdHU3.16.0940(CDS-product:N-inal_region_of_C horein_a_TM_vesicle-mediated_sorter_putative)". Lineage: Eukaryota; Euglenozoa; Kinetoplastea; Trypanosomatida; Trypanosomatidae. The record is from RNAcentral.